CCGCUAUUUCUUAGUGUUAAUAACUUCUAAUUUAUCGUCUAUGCACAAAACAAAUAAUUAUUAAAAAUAAGUAAGUGAUUGAUGGAGGAGGUUUAUCGCUUAACCUGUUAACACAGUAAUUUUAAUUGCUUACUCCUCCCAUUUUGGUCAAUUAAAAUUACUUGAAGAACGCCCACAUGUUCCGAGCGUUGAGCACGUGGCAAUAUUAUAGCACAUAACACUAUAUCGCACGUCAGUAAUCUUUAUUUUAUUUAUGACAAAACGGAUUGUUUUGCAUGAAUUAAUCACCAAAAAAUGGAUUCAUUUACUUAUCAGCUUCCCCUCUUCUCCCACCCUACCUCCUUUUUAUAUUUACGCCGACAUAACCACACGGUAGACGCUUUCCUGGUGGUAGAAUUUCUCCUCUUCAUUCCUUAAUAUCAUAAUUUCUAGAUCGAUUUGUGAAUUAUUGUUGGUUGGUUCAUUCUCUUUAUAAAAAAAAAUGGGAAAACAUAUUAAGCGCUAGUUGUUUUUGGCUUUUUAACCAUCUUUAACGCUUCCAAAGGAUACGUAAGACGCAGAAAUUAACAACUAUAGGACACCUUCAACAAUGAGUAAAACCCAUACUGCAUAGUCAGCUAUAUAAGGCCUCGAAAUGACAAACGUAAAACAAUUCAAACGAAAAAACUAACGACCUAAUUGAUGUACAAAUAAUAAACGAAAAACCAAAACUGUAACACAG
RNAcentral lists this long non-coding RNA (721 nucleotides) under Mytilus galloprovincialis (Mediterranean mussel). The record is from RNAcentral. Lineage: Eukaryota; Metazoa; Mollusca; Bivalvia; Mytilida; Mytilidae.